ACGUCUCCGGGAAUGACCUCUCAGUCGAACCAAUAGACUUAGAGAUGGGACAGAGAAAGUCAGAAUUUGAAGAAAGUCUGAAUUCCUUAAACCCGCGAGUGAACCUUUCCUCCAAGUAUUGGUCUAAGUCACAAUUAGAAAACAUCAGUAAAAUGACGAUGCAGAUCUGUAUGCAGCAACAAGACUUACUUGAUGUCGAACAAGAUAAAAUGCAAGAAAACCUCACCCAAGAAAGUGGAGAAACCAAUCAGAUUUUAGACAGAACGAA
This is a long non-coding RNA of Saccostrea echinata, 268 nucleotides long. RefSeq lists it as uncharacterized. The record is from RefSeq and is a predicted model, not a curated record. NCBI's taxonomy places the organism in Eukaryota, Metazoa, Mollusca, Bivalvia, Ostreida, Ostreidae. The transcript is spliced from 4 exons.